GGAUGUGGCUCAAGUGGUGGCGUGCUUGCCUGGCAUGCGUGCGGCCCGGGUUCGAUCCUCGGCACCA
RNAcentral lists this transfer RNA (67 nucleotides) under Marmota monax (woodchuck). Its description in RNAcentral is "tRNA.Ala". Lineage: Eukaryota; Metazoa; Chordata; Mammalia; Rodentia; Sciuridae. The record is from RNAcentral.